This 482-nucleotide ribosomal RNA is filed under the name uncultured bacterium. RNAcentral's name for it is "partial 16S ribosomal RNA". It matches the Rfam family "Bacterial small subunit ribosomal RNA", at positions 30 to 507 of the family's 1533-position model. The record is from RNAcentral.
AUUGAACGCUGGCGGCAUGCCUUACACAUGCAAGUCGAACGGUAACGGGCCUUCGGGUGCCGAUGAGUGGCGAACGGGUGAGUAAUACAUCGGAACGUGCCCGAUCGUGGGGGAUAACGAGGCGAAAGCUUUGCUAAUACCGCAUACGAUCUACGGAUGAAAGCAGGGGACCGCAAGGCCUUGCGCGGACGGAGCGGCCGAUGGCAGAUUAGGUAGUUGGUGGGAUAAAAGCUUACCAAGCCGACGAUCUGUAGCUGGUCUGAGAGGAUGAUCAGCCACACUGGGACUGAGACACGGCCCAGACUCCUACGGGAGGCAGCAGUGGGGAAUUUUAGACAAUGGGCGCAAGCCUGAUCCAGCCAUGCCGCGUGCAGGAUGAAGGCCUUCGGGUUGUAAACUGCUUUUGUACGGAACGAAAAGCCUUCUUUUAAUACAGGAGGGUCAUGACGGUACCGUAAGAAUAAGCACCGGCUAACUACGUG